CGAAGGGGGCUAGCGUUGUUCGGAAUCGACUGGGCGUAAAGGGCGCGUAGGCGGCCGUUCAAGUCGGGGGUGAAAGCCUGUGGCUCAACCACAGAAUGGCCUUCGAUACUGGACGGCUCGAGACCGGAAGAGGUCAGUGGAACUGCGAGUGUAGAGGUGAAAUUCGUAGAUAUUCGCAAGAACACCAGUGGCGAAGGCGGCUGACUGGUCCGGUUCUGACGCUGAGGCGCGAAAGCGUGGGGAGCAAACAGGAUUAGAUACCCUGGUAGUCCACGCCGUAAACGAUGGAUGCUAGCCGUUGGCGCGCUUGCGCGUCAGUGGCGCCGCUAACGCUUUAAGCAUCCCGCCUGGGGAGUACGGUCGCAAGAUUA
This 371-nucleotide ribosomal RNA is filed under the name uncultured organism. Its description in RNAcentral is "bacterial SSU rRNA". It matches the Rfam family "Bacterial small subunit ribosomal RNA", at positions 526 to 896 of the family's 1533-position model. The record is from RNAcentral.